This 450-nucleotide ribosomal RNA is filed under the name uncultured eukaryote. RNAcentral's name for it is "bacterial SSU rRNA". It matches the Rfam family "Eukaryotic small subunit ribosomal RNA", at positions 1211 to 1672 of the family's 1831-position model. The record is from RNAcentral.
AAACUCACCAGGUCAGGACACGGUAAGGAUUGACGGACUGAAGGCUCUUUCUCGAUUCCGUGGAAAGUGGUGCAUGGCCGUUUUGGUUGGUGGAUCGAUCCGUCUGGUUAAUUCCGUUAACGAACGAGACCUCGGCACUCCGAAUAGCGCGGCGGACGUCGCGGCCUCCGGGCCGUCUUCCGCACGAGCUUCUUAGAGGGACCGUCCCCCGCCGGGGAAGGAGGUGCGAGGCAACGACAGGUCUGUGAUGCCCUUAGAUGUUCUGGGCCGCACGCGCAUUACACUGACGCGUUCCAACGGGUGACUCCCGACCCGAAGGGGCCGGGGAAUCCGCAAGGCGCGUCGUGAUGGGGAUUGAACGUUGCAAUUGUUGUUCACGAACGAGGAAUUCCUAGUAGGCGCGGGUCAUCAACCCGCGCCGAUUACGUCCCUGCCCUUUGUACACACCGC